UCGGGGUAUUUUGACCAUGCGAAGGUAGCAUAAUCAUUUGCCUCUUAAUUAGGGGCUGGAAUGAAGGGUCAGACGAGGAACAAUCUGUCUCUACUUUUGUUUUGAAGUUAAUUUUUUGGUGAAAAAGCUAAAAUUUCCUUGGAGGACGAUAAGACCCUAUAGAUCUUUAUAAGCCAAAGUUUUAUUAUUUGGAUGUUAAUUAAUAGAAUGACCGUUUAUUUUGUUGGGGCGACGUUGAGAGAAGAUAAAUCCCUCAAUUUGAUAUAACAAAUACUAUUGGUUAAAUGAUCCUUUAGUGAAUCAGGAUUAAGUUACCUUAGGGAUAACAGCGUAAUUCUUCUUGAGAGCUCAAAUCGACAGAAGAGUUUGCGACCUCGAUGUUGGUUCAGGGUUCCUACUACGUGUA
RNAcentral lists this ribosomal RNA (406 nucleotides) under Phallocryptus spinosa. RNAcentral describes it as "partial 16S ribosomal RNA". It matches the Rfam family "Archaeal large subunit ribosomal RNA", at positions 2008 to 2626 of the family's 2987-position model. Lineage: Eukaryota; Metazoa; Arthropoda; Branchiopoda; Anostraca; Thamnocephalidae. The record is from RNAcentral.